This 492-nucleotide ribosomal RNA is filed under the name uncultured bacterium. RNAcentral's name for it is "partial 16S ribosomal RNA". It matches the Rfam family "Bacterial small subunit ribosomal RNA", at positions 29 to 507 of the family's 1533-position model. The record is from RNAcentral.
AGUGAACGCUGGCGGUAGGCCUAACACAUGCCAGUCGAACGGCAGCACAGUAAGAGCUUGCUCUUACGGGUGGCGAGUGGCGGACGGGUGAGGAAUACAUCGGAAUCUACUUUUUCGUGGGGGAUAACGUAGGGAAACUUACGCUAAUACCGCAUACGACCUACGGGUGAAAGCAGGGGAUCUUCGGACCUUGCGCGAUUGAAUGAGCCGAUGUCGGAUUAGCUAGUUGGCGGGGUAAAGGCCCACCAAGGCGACGAUCCGUAGCUGGUCUGAGAGGAUGAUCAGCCACACUGGAACUGAGACAAGGUCCAGAAUCCUACGGGAGGCAGCAGUGGGGAAUAUUGGACAAUGGGCGCAAGCCUGAUCCAGCCAUACCGCGUGGGUGAAGAAGGCCUUCGGGUUGUAAAGCCCUUUUGUUGGGAAAGAAAAGCAGCAGGUUAAUACCCCGCUGUUCUGACGGUACCCAAAGAAUAAGCACCGGCUAACUUCGUG